CGUGUCCACACACAUGUGCUGGCAUGUCUGCACCUGGCUGGUGUGUGCAUAUGGGUGUCCAUACCCACUCAUGACGUGACCUGUGAGUGUCCACGUGUGUGAUUGUAUCUAACUGUGUGUGUGACCGUGUCCAUGUAUGUCCAUCAACAUACGCUCCCCCUCAUUCCCCUGUCUAACCCCAGCCCCCCACCUCGUCCCCAUUUGGCAGCACUGGGGAUAGGGGGCAGGGGUGCAGCCUGGUGGUAUUGCCCGCCUCCUCCUGCCAGGUGACAACCUCGUCAACAAGCCAGACGAGCGCGGCUUCACCCCCCUCAUCUGGGCCUCGGCCUUUGGAGAGAUUGAGACCGUUCGCUUCCUGCUGGAGUGGGGUGCCGACCCCCACAUCCUGGCAAAAGAGCGAGAGAGCGCCCUGUCGCUGGCCA
RNAcentral lists this small RNA (422 nucleotides) under Pan troglodytes (chimpanzee). Its description in RNAcentral is "retained intron". The record is from RNAcentral. Lineage: Eukaryota; Metazoa; Chordata; Mammalia; Primates; Hominidae.